RNAcentral lists this ribosomal RNA (387 nucleotides) under uncultured bacterium. RNAcentral describes it as "bacterial SSU rRNA". It matches the Rfam family "Bacterial small subunit ribosomal RNA", at positions 28 to 416 of the family's 1533-position model. The record is from RNAcentral.
GACGAACGCUGGCGGCGUGCUUAACACAUGCAAGUCGAGCGGUAAGGCCCUUUCGGGGGUACACGAGCGGCGAACGGGUGAGUAACACGUGGGUGACCUGCCCUCAGCUCUGGGAUAAGCCUGGGAAACCGGGUCUAAUACUGGAUAUGACUCCAUGACGCAUGUUGUGGGGUGGAAAGCCUUGUGCGGCUGAGGAUGGGCCCGCGGCCUAUCAGCUUGUUGGUGGGGUGANCGGCCUACCAAGGCGACGACGGGUAGCCGGCCUGAGAGGCGACCGGCCACACUGGGACUGAGACACGGCCCAGACUCCUACGGGAGGCAGCAGUGGGGAAUCUUGCGCAAUGGGCGAAAGCCUGACGCAGCGACGCCGCGUGAGGGAUGACGGCC